This 445-nucleotide ribosomal RNA is filed under the name Cryptosporidium canis. RNAcentral describes it as "SSU rRNA". It matches the Rfam family "Eukaryotic small subunit ribosomal RNA", at positions 572 to 1049 of the family's 1831-position model. The record is from RNAcentral. Lineage: Eukaryota; Apicomplexa; Conoidasida; Eucoccidiorida; Cryptosporidiidae.
AGCCGCGGUAAUUCCAGCUCCAAUAGCGUAUAUUAAAGUUGUUGCAGUUAAAAAGCUCGUAGUUGGAUUUCUGUUAAUAAUUUAUAUAUAAUAUUUAACAUAUUUAUAUAAUAUUAACAUAAUUCAUAUUACUAUUUAUAGUAUAUGAAACUAUACUUUGAGAAAAUUAGAGUGCUUAAAGCAGGCUUUUGCCUUGAAUACUAGAGCAUGGAAUAAUAUUAAAGAUUUUUAUCUUUCUUAUUGGUUCUAAGAUAGAAAUAAUGAUUAAUAGGGACAGUUGGGGGCAUUUGUAUUUAACAGUUAGAGGUGAAAUUCUUAGAUUUGUUAAAGACAAACUAAUGCGAAAGCAUUUGCCAAGGAUGUUUUCAUUAAUCAAGGACGAAAGUUAGGGGAUCGAAGACGAUCAGAUACCGUCGUAGUCUUAACCAUAAACCAUGCCAACUAG